Molecule: non-coding RNA, 473 nt
Organism: Pelobates cultripes (western spadefoot toad)
Lineage: Eukaryota; Metazoa; Chordata; Amphibia; Anura; Pelobatidae
Source: the annotation of a GenBank genome assembly
CUACCAAGCAAUGUACCCACAUAAAUUCCUCCCCAACAGGGAAAUCUUCCAAUAGCAAGCAAGGUUAGACGGAGUGUAUAAUACACUCCCAAACUGAUAAUUGUAUUACCUUGCCGGAAUACAUAGCACUGCAAUCUAACACAUAUAUGUUCACACUCAUCUGUAACUACUGAACGACUUAAAAAACGCAAAGCCUAUCACAAACAUGUUUAUUUUAUACGAAAUUGUGCAGCAUUUACUCAUGCCAUAUCACUGUCCACUUCGAGUUGCAAAUAUCUGCUACUGUGGCAUACCUGCAUGUAUGUACCUCUUAUGCACAUCAAAAAUAAAGAAUUACAAAAAAACAAAACUUAAUCAAAAACUUGAAUUUGCGCUAUAUGUCUGUUCAGGCGUAAGUCGCCUCUUUCAUAUUAUGUGCACCCACACUUAUUAUAUAUCAUUUUAUUCAGGGGACGCAGGGUUUUCAUUUAACA